This 339-nucleotide ribosomal RNA is filed under the name uncultured Anaerolineaceae bacterium. RNAcentral's name for it is "bacterial SSU rRNA". It matches the Rfam family "Bacterial small subunit ribosomal RNA", at positions 1030 to 1382 of the family's 1533-position model. Lineage: Bacteria; Bacillati; Chloroflexota; Anaerolineae; Anaerolineales; Anaerolineaceae. The record is from RNAcentral.
UUGUACAGGUGCUGCAUGGCUGUCGUCAGCUCGUGUCGUGAGAUGUCGGUUAAGUCCGCUAACGAGCGCAACCCUCGCUGUGUGUUACAAGUGUCACACGGAACUGCCGGUCAUAAACCGGAGGAAGGUGGGGAUGACGUCAAGUCAGCAUGGCCUUUAUAUCCUGGGCUACACACACGCUACAAUGGGAAGGGACAAUAGGUUGCGAAGCCGCGAGGCGGAGCCAAUCCAGCAAAACUUCCCUCAGUUCAGAUUGCAGGCUGCAACCCGCCUGCAUGAAGUUGGAGUUGCUAGUAAACGCAGGUCAGCCAUACUGCGUUGAAUACGUUCCCGGGGCUU